UCUGUCUCUAUUUAAUUAGUAAUUAAAUUUAAUUUUUAAGUUAAAAAGCUUAAAUAUAUUUAAAGGACGAGAAGACCCUAUAGAGUUUGAUAUUUUAAUUUAUUUAUAAGUUUAAAUUAUUAUUAAAUAAGUUGAAAUAUUUUAUUGGGGCGAUAAAAAAAUUAUAUAAACUUUUUUAAAAAUUUUAAACAUUUAUUAGUGAAUUAUUGAUCCUUUUUUU
Molecule: ribosomal RNA, 220 nt
Filed under: Paracharactus japonicus
Lineage: Eukaryota; Metazoa; Arthropoda; Insecta; Hymenoptera; Tenthredinidae
Description: partial 16S ribosomal RNA
Source: RNAcentral